AGCGAACGCUGGCGGCAGGCCUAACACAUGCAAGUCGAACGAACUCUUCGGAGUUAGUGGCGGACGGGUGAGUAACACGUGGGAACGUGCCUUUGGUUCGGAAUAACCCAGGGAAACUUGUGCUAAUACCGAAUGUGCCCUUCGGGGGAAAGAUUUAUCGCCAUUAGAGCGGCCCGCGUCUGAUUAGCUAGUUGGUGAGGUAACGGCUCACCAAGGCGACGAUCAGUAGCUGGUCUGAGAGGAUGACCAGCCACACUGGGACUGAGACACGGCCCAGACUCCUACGGGAGGCAGCAGUGGGGAAUCUUGCGCAAUGGGCGAAAGCCUGACGCAGCCAUGCCGCGUGAAUGAUGAAGGUCUUAGGAUUGUAAAAUUCUUUCACCGGGGACGAUAAUGACGGUACCCGGAGAAGAAGCCCCGGCUAACUUCGUG
RNAcentral lists this ribosomal RNA (432 nucleotides) under uncultured bacterium. RNAcentral's name for it is "partial 16S ribosomal RNA". It matches the Rfam family "Bacterial small subunit ribosomal RNA", at positions 29 to 507 of the family's 1533-position model. The record is from RNAcentral.